This 468-nucleotide ribosomal RNA is filed under the name uncultured Thiobacillus sp. RNAcentral describes it as "bacterial SSU rRNA". It matches the Rfam family "Bacterial small subunit ribosomal RNA", at positions 908 to 1382 of the family's 1533-position model. The record is from RNAcentral. Lineage: Bacteria; Pseudomonadati; Pseudomonadota; Betaproteobacteria; Nitrosomonadales; Thiobacillaceae.
AAUUGACGGGGACCCGCACAAGCGGUGGAUGAUGUGGAUUAAUUCGAUGCAACGCGAAAACCUUACUACCCUUGACAUGUCCAGAACCCUGCAGAGAUGCGGGGGUGCCCGAAAGGGAAUUGGAACACAGGUGCUGCAUGGCUGUCGUCAGCUCGUGUCGUGAGAUGUUGGGUUAAGUCCCGCAACGAGCGCAACCCUUAUCAUUAGUUGCUACGCAAGGGCACUCUAAUGAGACUGCCGGUGACAAACCGGAGGAAGGUGGGGAUGACGUCAAGUCCUCAUGGCCCUUAUGGGUAGGGCUUCACACGUCAUACAAUGGUCGGUACAGAGGGUUGCCAAGCCGCGAGGUGGAGCCAAUCCCAGAAAGCCGAUCGUAGUCCGGAUUGUUCUCUGCAACUCGAGAGCAUGAAGUCGGAAUCGCUAGUAAUCGCGGAUCAGCAUGUCGCGGUGAAUACGUUCCCGGGUCUU